UGGAACACUGAUGACGGCGACAUUGGAG
This 28-nucleotide small RNA is filed under the name Arabidopsis thaliana (thale cress). RNAcentral's name for it is "ATSL241450". The record is from RNAcentral. Lineage: Eukaryota; Viridiplantae; Streptophyta; Magnoliopsida; Brassicales; Brassicaceae.